AAAAAGCAAAAUGAAGACCAGCCUGAGAUGGUUCCAUCCUUGAGGUGCAAUCCUGAAAUUUCUUUCCUACAUCCUGAAAUCAAAUUGGUCAAGAUGGUUCCAUUUAUGCAAAUAAAAGAAGAUUAAAACUAUUCUUUAACUUCUAAAGCCAGUGACUAAAACUAGUGGUGGUUCUGCCUGAAAUCUCAGAGGUAGAACGAAAGUUAACCGUAGACUAGAAAAAGGAUACUAUGCACAGAACACUAUCAGGAAUGGAGCUCAAAUUUAAUAAAACAGUAUUGAAACAAGAAUAUAUAUAAAUGCAGCUUGAUCAUGAAACCAGUACCCCUUAGAAUAAUCAUAUGUCUCUACAUACUCAAAAGAAUGUCAAGAGAAGAUCAAGAAACACAAGAAUGGACAAAUAUAUUAAAGUUAUUGGUAUUCUGGUGCAUAAGCCGCUACAUCAUAUAGUCAAAUUUAAAUAGAAUCGAUGAACAUAGCAAAAGAAAUAGCCUAGCCAAAAAAAUGCAACAAUAAUACAGCACGUGGUUUCAUAAGAGUCAUUUUCAGACUCCACAUCAUUAAGUCUCUGUGCAUAUCAGAAUCAGAUCAAAAUGCAAAUAGUUUGACUUAGGCAAGUUAACCUGAACAUAUUUUGUCAAGCUUUGAUUAAUACAUAUACAUAAAGUACAGAAUGAGUGAAGUUACCCAUAUUCACUAUCUGAACUAAAAUAAACUUUUAGUUAGAAAGAACAACACUCUGUCACAUAGAAAAACAGUAAGCAUAAUUGAAUUAAGUUACAUCUGUAAUUCAUGUACUACAAGAUUGGAUCCUACAAACAAGCAUGUCUCCCUAUUUAAUAAUUUCUAGGAUUUGAAUGCCACCAAGAUGAAAACUAAGCUUAGAGUCAAGUUCUGGUAGGCUCUGAAAAUGUGUUCAUCUCAAGUUAGUUUCUAGAAAGUGGAUUCAAAUUUUGGGUAUCUAGGAAUAACAAAUACUGAUAUUGUCAGCUUUUAGUAACCUUCUGAGGUUAAGGUCCAACAUGACUAGAUAUGGUCAACUAUCACCAACCAAAAUAAUCCUAGGAAGUGACACAANNN
Molecule: long non-coding RNA, 1080 nt
Filed under: Phoenix dactylifera (date palm)
Lineage: Eukaryota; Viridiplantae; Streptophyta; Magnoliopsida; Arecales; Arecaceae
Description: long non-coding RNA (PDAC_LNC002416)
Source: RNAcentral